RNAcentral lists this transfer RNA (71 nucleotides) under Marmota marmota marmota (Alpine marmot). It matches the Rfam family "tRNA". From Rfam's summary of the family: Transfer RNA (tRNA) molecules are approximately 80 nucleotides in length. Their secondary structure includes four short double-helical elements and three loops (D, anti-codon, and T loops). Further hydrogen bonds mediate the characteristic L-shaped molecular structure. tRNAs have two regions of fundamental functional importance: the anti-codon, which is responsible for specific mRNA codon recognition, and the 3' end, to which the tRNAs corresponding amino acid is attached (by aminoacyl-tRNA synthetases). tRNAs cope with the degeneracy of the genetic code in two manners: having more than one tRNA (with a specific anti-codon) for a particular amino acid; and 'wobble' base-pairing, i.e. permitting non-standard base-pairing at the 3rd anti-codon position. The record is from Rfam by way of RNAcentral. RNAcentral also lists the same sequence under 1 other name. Lineage: Eukaryota; Metazoa; Chordata; Mammalia; Rodentia; Sciuridae.
GUGGCUGUGGCUCAGAGGUAGAGCACUUGCCUAGCACGUGUGGGGCCCUGGGUUCAAGCCUCAGCACCACA